This 253-nucleotide ribosomal RNA is filed under the name uncultured bacterium. RNAcentral describes it as "partial 16S ribosomal RNA". It matches the Rfam family "Bacterial small subunit ribosomal RNA", at positions 524 to 776 of the family's 1533-position model. The record is from RNAcentral.
UACGAAGGGGGCAAGCGUUGUUCGGAAUUACUGGGCGUAAAGGGCGCGCAGGCGGCCGUUCAAGUCAGAUGUGAAAGCCCCGGGCUCAACCUGGGAAUAGCAUUUGGGACUGGAUGGCUAGAGUUCGGGAGAGGAGAGUGGAAUUCCCAGUGUAGAGGUGAAAUUCGUAGAUAUUCGCAAGAACACCAGUGGCGAAGGCGGCUCACUGGCCCGGUACUGACGCUGAGGUGCGAAAGCGUGGGGAGCAAACAGG